RNAcentral lists this ribosomal RNA (261 nucleotides) under uncultured prokaryote. RNAcentral's name for it is "partial 16S ribosomal RNA". It matches the Rfam family "Bacterial small subunit ribosomal RNA", at positions 524 to 784 of the family's 1533-position model. The record is from RNAcentral.
UACGGAGGAUCCGAGCGUUAUCCGGAUUUAUUGGGUUUAAAGGGUGCGCAGGCGGGAUGUUAAGUCGGCGGUGAAAUUUUGCAGCUCAACUGUAAAAGUGCCUUCGAUACUGGCUUUCUUGAGUGUGGAUGAAGUAGGCGGAAUUUGUGGUGUGGCGGUGAAAUGCUUAGAUAUCACGAGGAACUCCGAUUGCGCAGGCAGCUUACUAAACCACUACUGACGCUCAUGCACGAAGGCGUGGGGAUCAAACAGGAUUAGAUA